AUUGAACGCUGGCGGCAUGCCUUACACAUGCCAGUCGAACGGCAGCGCGGACUUCGGUCUGGCGGCGAGUGGCGAACGGGUGAGUAAUACAUCGGAACGUACCCUGUUGUGGGGGAUAACUAGUCGAAAGAUUAGCUAAUACCGCAUACGACCUGAGGGUGAAAGUGGGGGACCGCAAGGCCUCACGCAGCAGGAGCGGCCGAUGUCUGAUUAGCUAGUUGGUGGGGUAAAGGCCCACCAAGGCGACGAUCAGUAGCUAGUCUGAGAGGACGAUCAGCCACACUGGGACUGAGACACGGCCCAGACUCCCACGGGAGGCAGCAGUGGGGAAUUUUGGACAAUGGGGGCAACCCUGAUCCAGCAAUGCCGCGUGUGUGAAGAAGGCCUUCGGGUUGUAAAGCACUUUUGUCCGGAAAGAAAUCGCGCUGGUUAAUACCUGGCGUGGAUGACGGUACCGGAAGAAUAAGCACCGGCUAACUACGUG
This 484-nucleotide ribosomal RNA is filed under the name uncultured bacterium. RNAcentral describes it as "partial 16S ribosomal RNA". It matches the Rfam family "Bacterial small subunit ribosomal RNA", at positions 30 to 507 of the family's 1533-position model. The record is from RNAcentral.